GGGGAUAUAGCUCAGUAGGUAGAGCACUUGCCUUGCCUCGCAUGCAUAAGGCCCGGGGUUCAAUCCCCAGCACCACCA
This 78-nucleotide transfer RNA is filed under the name Ictidomys tridecemlineatus (thirteen-lined ground squirrel). RNAcentral describes it as "Spermophilus tridecemlineatus (thirteen-lined ground squirrel) tRNA". It matches the Rfam family "tRNA". Rfam says of the family: Transfer RNA (tRNA) molecules are approximately 80 nucleotides in length. Their secondary structure includes four short double-helical elements and three loops (D, anti-codon, and T loops). Lineage: Eukaryota; Metazoa; Chordata; Mammalia; Rodentia; Sciuridae. The record is from Rfam by way of RNAcentral.